This is a long non-coding RNA of Bombus terrestris (buff-tailed bumblebee), 955 nucleotides long. RefSeq lists it as uncharacterized. Lineage: Eukaryota; Metazoa; Arthropoda; Insecta; Hymenoptera; Apidae. The transcript has 2 exons. The record is from RefSeq and is a predicted model, not a curated record.
GUGUACAAAUUUAUCUGAUGGAAGCGAACCAAAUCGGGUGCAUUUACACGUGUACGCUUCACACGUCAUAUCCUACGUUACGAACCACGCGAAUUUCAAUUAUACUUUACUGAAUGCAUUUCGCCCUUGCUAGUAAUAGCAGCGUUUAAAAGUUCGACGAUGAGGUCAGAAAAUGAAAGUGAAUCGAGAGAGAGAAGGUGCAUUAUCUGCGAUAGCUAAUUGCUGAGAAAUUGUGAUUAUCGACGGCUAGCGCGAAUUCGCCAGAAUAAUCGAUGAUGUAUAAGGAAGGUGGUAUCCCGAUCUGUCUAAAAUAGAAUCACGAACGCGAAUACGACGAGAUCGAAACCUUGGCCCCAUAGAGCAAAGCUUACGUCUGUUUCGUUGAUAAAAUGAUUAAUUAAGCACCGCGUGAACUAAAUAUCUCCUGCUAUUCAAGCAUCGAGAUCUUAACGAGCAAUCACCUUGGAAACACAUUUGACCAACGAUGCUACAUUGUGUGUGAAGGAUGUUAAUUACAGUAAAAAAGAUGCGCGAAAAGAAAGUACCUAUAUGUAAUAUUUCGUUACUAAGUGUUACUAAUUAAGCUGAGAAUCGACCUUCGUAACCACACGGGAAGGAGGAUCGAGCUCGAGCGAGGAGUGCUUCGCGACCUUAGACAAUGCGACCUGCACACGAAAUAUCCACGAACCGUGACCACUUCUGCGAGCUAAACGCAAGAGAAACGAAGAAGGUAAGAAAGUCACGAGCCGACAGAGAGGAAAGUAUCCUCUCGUAUUAUUACACCGGAUAAACGUCAAUGCCGUUUAGAACCAGUUGUAACGUUUCUACUCGAGAUUCCUGUGUCGAUCUCGAGCUGAACAUUUCCAUGGCGGUCUGUUAAAAGCACUUCGCUCUAAUUGCAUACCGGAAUCUUUGACUCAAAUGUACGCGUAAAAUACACAAGUUAAUACAUAAA